GUGCUCACUUUGGCAGCACAUAUACUAAGGUUGGAAUGACACAGAGAAUAGCAUGGCCCCUGUUCAAGGAUGACAUGUAAAUUCGUGAAGCAUUCCAUAUUAAA
Small nuclear RNA from Talpa occidentalis (Iberian mole), 104 nucleotides. Lineage: Eukaryota; Metazoa; Chordata; Mammalia; Eulipotyphla; Talpidae. The record is from RefSeq and is a predicted model, not a curated record.